RNAcentral lists this ribosomal RNA (693 nucleotides) under uncultured bacterium. RNAcentral describes it as "bacterial SSU rRNA". It matches the Rfam family "Bacterial small subunit ribosomal RNA", at positions 609 to 1300 of the family's 1533-position model. The record is from RNAcentral.
UUAACUGUGAGCGUGCGGGCGAUACGGGCAGACUUGAGUACUGCAGGGGAGACUGGAAUUCCUGGUGUAGCGGUGGAAUGCGCAGAUAUCAGGAGGAACACCGGUGGCGAAGGCGGGUCUCUGGGCAGUAACUGACGCUGAGGAGCGAAAGCGUGGGGAGCGAACAGGAUUAGAUACCCUGGUAGUCCACGCCGUAAACGGUGGGUACUAGGUGUGGGUUUCCUUCCUUGGGAUCCGUGCCGUAGCUAACGCAUUAAGUACCCCGCCUGGGGAGUACGGCCGCAAGGCUAAAACUCAAAGAAAUUGACGGGGGCCCGCACAAGCGGCGGAGCAUGUGGAUUAAUUCGAUGCAACGCGAAGAACCUUACCUGGGUUUGACAUGCACAGGACGCCGGCAGAGAUGUCGGUUCCCUUGUGGCCUGUGUGCAGGUGGUGCAUGGCUGUCGUCAGCUCGUGUCGUGAGAUGUUGGGUUAAGUCCCGCAACGAGCGCAACCCUUGUCUCAUGUUGCCAGCGGGUAAUGCCGGGGACUCGUGAGAGACUGCCGGGGUCAACUCGGAGGAAGGUGGGGAUGACGUCAAGUCAUCAUGCCCCUUAUGUCCAGGGCUUCACACAUGCUACAAUGGCCGGUACGAAGGGCUGCGAUGCCGCGAGGUUAAGCGAAUCCUUUUAAAGCCGGUCUCAGUUCGGAUCG